Molecule: ribosomal RNA, 301 nt
Filed under: uncultured bacterium
Lineage: Bacteria
Description: partial 16S ribosomal RNA
Rfam family: Bacterial small subunit ribosomal RNA
Source: RNAcentral
CAGCAGCCGCGGGAAUACGAAGGGGGCUAGCGUUGUUCGGAAUUACUGGGCGUAAAGCGCGCGUAGGUGGUUCGCCAAGUUGGAUGUGAAAUCCCCGGGCUCAACCUGGGAACUGCAUCCAAAACUGGCGAGCUAGAGUAUGGUAGAGGGGGUGGAAUUCCGCGUGUAGCAGUGAAAUGCGUAGAUAUGCGGAGGAACACCGAUGGCGAAGGCAGCCCCCUGGGCCAACACUGACGCUCAUGCACGAAAGCGUGGGGAGCAAACAGGAUUAGAUACCCCGGUAGUCCCUGUCUCUUAUACA